UUUAUGGAGAGUUUGAUCCUGGCUCAGGAUGAACGCUGGCGGCGUGCCUAAUACAUGCAAGUCGAGCGAACGGAUGAGAAGCUUGCUUCUCUGAUGUUAGCGGCGGACGGGUGAGUAACACGUGGAUAACCUACCUAUAAGACUGGGAUAACUUCGGGAAACCGGAGCUAAUAC
Molecule: ribosomal RNA, 174 nt
Filed under: Staphylococcus aureus
Lineage: Bacteria; Bacillati; Bacillota; Bacilli; Caryophanales; Staphylococcaceae
Description: partial 16S ribosomal RNA
Rfam family: Bacterial small subunit ribosomal RNA
Source: RNAcentral